UACGAAGGGGGCUAGCGUUGCUCGGAAUCACUGGGCGUAAAGGGUGCGUAGGCGGGUCUUUAAGUCAGGGGGGAAAUCCUGGAGCUCAACUCCAGAACUGCCUUUGAUACUGAAGAUCUUGAGUUCGGGAGAGGUGAGUGGAAUUCCAGGUGUAGCGGUGAAAUGCGUAGAUAUCUGGAGGAACACCGGUGGCGAAGGCGGCAUCCUGGACCGACACUGACGCUGAGAAGCGAAAGCGUGGGGAGCGAACAGG
Molecule: ribosomal RNA, 253 nt
Filed under: uncultured bacterium
Lineage: Bacteria
Description: partial 16S ribosomal RNA
Rfam family: Bacterial small subunit ribosomal RNA
Source: RNAcentral